UAUUUAGACGUUUCAUUUGUGUUUAUUUUGAAAUAAUUUUAUACAUUACAGAAGAUAGUAGAGUUGCCAUAUAUCCAUUCACUUCCCCUCAUAUUAGCACGUUACAUAACCAUGGUAAAACCAUCAAAAGUAAGAAAUUAACACUGUACGAUACCAUCAAAUACACAACAGACUUUAUUCAGAUUUCACCAGUUUUCCACUAAUGUCCCUUUUCUGUCUCAAGGUUCGAUCCAGGGUCCACAUUGUAUUUAUUGUUGUCUCUUUCACCUCCUCCAGUCUGACAGUUGCUCAGUUUAUCAUCGUCAUCCAUGACCUUGACACUCCUGAUGAGUACUAGUCAGAUUUUCUGUAAAAUAUCUCUCCAUUUUCACUUGUUUGGGGAUUUCUCGUACUCAGACUAGAGUUGUGCACUAAUGAGAAAGAUAUCACAGAGGUGGGGGCCCUUCCAGAUGCAUCACAUCAGGGGUUCAUGUCCUAUUACUGAUAUGUCAACUCUGCUCACUUGGAUAAAGUGGUACCUACUGUGUUUUUAGUGACUGUAAAGCUACACUUUUCCCCUUUGUAAACAGUAAAUAUUUGAGGAGCAAUAUUUUGAGGCUAAGUUUUUGCCCAGUCAUUUUAGCAUUCAUGAGUGGACCCUGCCUACAGCAAUUUUUACCAUUGUUCCAGGGUUCUAGUGAUGAUUUGCUAUUUCCUUCUUCCUUUUUACAUUUAUUAAUCGAAAUUCUUCUGUAAGGAGGAGUUAUCUUUCCUCUACCGUUUACUUAUUCAAUCAUUUAUUAAUGUCAGCAUGAACUUCACUGUUUCAUAAUCCAACAUUUUAUUCAGUUAUUGAAAUGUUUCCAGCUUUGGCCACUGAAAACAACUCCAGUUUGGUGCCUGUGUCCUUUCAACGUGCCCCCGUCUUUAAUACUUCUUUACCUGUUGGUACUACAAGAUUCUCCAGGCUUAUCUUGCAUCAUCCCUGCCCCAGCCCUAGAAUCAAUCAUUUCUCCAAGGACGUGUAUAGGUGUUUUAAAUCCUAGGAGUGGAUAGUUUAGAACCCCCCACUCUCACCCAGGGAAAGAAAAUAGUCAGAAAAGAAGCUGGAAGGCCCUUGAAUGAAGCCAGCAUUUGGGGGUUGAAUAAAGGACUGUCAGAGAUGUCUGUGGAAACUCAGAGCAGGUGGCAGGGAAGCCAAGAAAAGACACCCCCUAGAGCAUCCUAGCUGAUCCAGCCAUCUUUUAUCUUACCAUUUCCUCUCUUCCAGCCGGACGGCCAGUAAGUCCUGGGUGAACCAAGUCCUCAACUCUGCAAAACUGCAGUAAACACAACUACAACAAAUUCAGCCAAUGGACUUUAGUCUUUCAUGACUCUAACUGAAAUGUGUUUCCUCUCUUCUCUCUCAAUCCAAACCCCACUCGUCUUUACAAGUAGGGAAAAUUGCGUCUUUUCCCUGAAACUCUUCCCAGGGCUCAGCCUAUAUUUAUCGUUUACUUUAUAAGAAUACCCUAGCUCUUAUCUCUUCAGUCAAGGAAUGCUUGGAUUAUACUCUCUAAAACAUGUUUUUUCUAUUUGUCCCAUAUUACAUGUUCCCGCAAAAUACUGUGGCUCCUUUAGGUCAGAGGCCAGACCUCAUGCUCUGGUACACUCAGCCAGUUAGCAAUAUCCAAAUAUCUAAUAGGCAUUUAAUAAAUAUAUGUUGUUUUGACAUUUAUAUUAAUAAAUCAAUCAUUAUAUUGAGUCAUCAAGUAAAUAGUUGAGCACUGGGAAGAUUCCAGGAGCUAUCUUAUCUAUGCAGGAAUGUUAAAAACUGCUCAUUAAGAUGCAAAUUUAGGCCAGCUAUAUGAAUUGCUAUGGCUUUGAUGAUAUUCCAAGAAAAUGUAACCCUGAGCCAGGACAAUUCUUAUUUCUUGCCAGGAAAUAAUUCAUUAGGAUAUUUAUGGCUUAUCUAUUAAUAAAGUAAGUCCUUAUAAUAUUUUACAUGACCUUUUCUUGCUUUGUUUUAUAAAAAUUAUCUGAUCUACUUCCAUUUUUAAAAUUAAGUAUCUGUUACAUAAUUACUAGUAUGCAAAGCUAUCAAAUUUUCAAGAUUGCAAAUGGGAGAGUAAAUAUGAAAUUUGUUGAUUUUUUAAAAAGAUCAAUAUCAUGGUUUUUAUUAAAAAUAGUAUUUAUUUGGACUUUCUGCUGUGAUGCAGUGGGUUAAGAAUCUGACUGCAGUGGCUCAGAAUGUUGCAGAGGUGCGGAUUUGAUUCUCGGCUUGGUGUACUGGGUUAAAGGGUCUGGAUUAGCUGCAGCUGCAGUGUAGGUCAUAGCUGCAGCUCAGAUUCAAUUCCUGGCCUGCAAACUUCCAUAUGCCAUCAGUGUGGCCCUAAAAAAAAAAAAUGUAUAUAUAUAUAUAUAGUAUUUAUUUGUUGAAAAAAAUCAAGAAAAUACAGAUAAGCAAAGAGAAAAAAAUCUUAUAAUCCCAAAAUCCAGAAACACAUACCAUUUUUCCUAGCUUUAUUGAGGUGUAAUUGGACCAUCUACAUUUUAGAACAUACCAUAUGUAUAUAUAAGGGAUUUGUGUGAUCAUUUUAUACAAAUUACUUUGUAACUUACUUUUUUUAACUUAAUGUUUCCUAUUUUUCACAUCAUUAAAUAUUUCCUACAUGUCUUCCCCUGUGAUUAUGAAUGGAAUUUUAUAGAUUGGAUGUAUUACACCUUAUUAAACUUGUCUUUAUGCUUGGAUAUUAAGGUACUUCCAAUUUUCUCCCAAUAUAUGCCACAAUGAACAUUCGUAUAUAUAAUUGUGAACACACUCAUAUUUCCUUAGCACAAAUUUCUAAAAGUGAGUCUGUCUGUGUAAACGGCGAUUCACAGUUUAGGAAUUUUUUGUUUCUGUUUGUGUCUGUGUGUUUCAAUGGCCCAACUGUUGUGCCAAUUUAUUAUCUCAACCAUUGGUAGUUAAAGCAGUUUUCAAAUAAUAUAUCAUCUCAUAUUUUUAAAGGAAUCUUGUUCCCCUCUUGAGAGCCUCCAAAAAGAUGAUAAAAUAAAGCUACAUGUUUUUUUUUCUAUUAUGGGAGUGCCCUUCCUCCUGAAACUUUGAUUAAUUUUUUAAUAUUUUGCUUCCUGCUAUAAAAAAUGCACAACAACACACAUUAUUUAUUGUGAGUUGCAAAGAAAGUACAAGGUCAUCUAAAGAAGAAAAGUUCCAAGGAGCAUGGCAACAGAAAGAAGAAAAAAAAACCAAAAUUAAUUACACUCAUAUUUGGAAAUCCCUUGUCAAGAGCAAUUACUUUAAAAGUAAUCUUAUUGCAUACUUUGGUAUUUAUAUUUGCAAGAAAGAUAGUUUUUUGCACUUUUAUUUCAUAUUCACCAGUUUUUCUUAUAUAAAAAAAGAAUCUGGAUCAGCCAACUAUUGAAGGAUAGCUGUCACAUUUAAAACAAAUUUCCCAGUAAAAAUGCAAUCAUUAGUUCUUUAUUUGUAGUUAUUUAUACACUGCACAAAGACCAAGAGGGCCAAGAAAAAGGGAAAUACAAAUUCAUUAACAUCAUGGUUCUGCUUGAACUUCAAAUUUGGUUUCAUGGAUUAUUCUUUCCUGUUUGGGACAUAAGUCUUUCUGGUUAAUACAUGUUUCAGAUUUAUUUCACUUGCAACAUUGAGAGGGUGAUGCAGUAACUUCCAGUUAUUAAUGUCUAUGUCAAGAGAAAAAUUAAAGAAAAACAUAGCUGAUAUACACACUUCCCCAUUUCUAUAGAUUAAAAACCAGAAGAGCAAAAAAGGUUGUUACUUUCAAAAGUGUGAGAAGUUUUUAAAAAACAGUCUACUUUCUUUCCCCCUUAAAGAUCUGAAAGGCAGAGGAUGAAAUCAACCUACAUUUUUUUUCUCUACUUGCCUAACAUCAAUCAUGGGUGACUAAACAUCUACAUAUUUACUUCAAAUUGAAAAGUCCUUUAAACUAAUGCUGUUUUCUUCACGUAUUCUUAAAUUAAUAGUGAAUUCUUAAAGUAUGAAGGAGAUGAAGUUGGUGUCCAGGAAAAAGAAACAUUCUAUUGAUCCCUACUGAGACAUUAAGAAAGCCUAAGCAGUCUACUGGGCAGUAUCGAUAGUGCAAAGGAGAGCUAGUAAUCCAAAACAGAACUGCGUAGUGUUUCCACCGUGGCUCAUUGGGUUAAGAACCUGACACAGUAUUCAACAGGAUGCAGGGUUCUAUCCCUGGCCUUGCUCAGUGGGUUAAGGAUCUGGUGUUGCCACAAGGUGUGGUAUAGGUGGCAGAUGCGCCUUGGAUCCUGAGUCACUGUCACGGUGGCAUAGGCCAGCAGCUGUAGCUCCAAUUCAACCUGUAGCCUAGGAAUUUCCAUGCAUCGCAGGUGUGGCAAU
Molecule: long non-coding RNA, 4342 nt
Filed under: Sus scrofa (pig)
Lineage: Eukaryota; Metazoa; Chordata; Mammalia; Artiodactyla; Suidae
Description: lncRNA (ENSSSCG00000055576.1)
Source: RNAcentral